This 228-nucleotide long non-coding RNA is filed under the name Prunus persica (peach). RNAcentral's name for it is "long non-coding RNA (PPER_LNC007412)". Lineage: Eukaryota; Viridiplantae; Streptophyta; Magnoliopsida; Rosales; Rosaceae. The record is from RNAcentral.
ACGUUUAAUGUUAGCAAAUGAAUUGCAGAUAUGAGUUAGAUCAAUUGUCAAGUUAGCGUAUCAGCAGCCUUGAAUCCAAGUUAGAUCCCCUUCAUAUUCAUUAGAAUAGUUUAUAAUAUAGUUUUAUAAAAAUAAACAAAUAAAUGUUAGCAAAUGAAUUGUUAUUCUUAUCUGGACCAGCGUAAAGAACAAAAUGAACCUGAUUUUGAAGCCCAACCUUUGAGGUUG